AGUGAACGCUGGCGGUAGGCCUAACACAUGCAAGUCGAACGGCAGCACAGUAAGAGCUUGCUCUUACGGGUGGCGAGUGGCGGACGGGUGAGGAAUACAUCGGAAUCUACUUUUUCGUGGGGGAUAACGUAGGGAAACUUACGCUAAUACCGCAUACGACCUACGGGUGAAAGCAGGGGAUCUUCGGACCUUGCGCGAUUGAAUGAGCCGAUGUCGGACUAGCUAGUUGGCGGGGUAAAGGCCCACCAAGGCGACGAUCCGUAGCUGGUCUGAGAGGAUGAUCAGCCACACUGGAACUGAGACACGGUCCAGACUCCUACGGGAGGCAGCAGUGGGGAAUAUUGGACAAUGGGCGCAAGCCUGAUCCAGCCAUACCGCGUGGGUGAAGAAGGCCUUCGGGUUGUAAAGCCCUUUUGUUGGGAAAGAAAAGCAGCAGGUUAAUACCCCGCUGUUCUGACGGUACCCAAAGAAUAAGCACCCGCUAACUUCGUG
RNAcentral lists this ribosomal RNA (492 nucleotides) under uncultured bacterium. RNAcentral's name for it is "partial 16S ribosomal RNA". It matches the Rfam family "Bacterial small subunit ribosomal RNA", at positions 29 to 507 of the family's 1533-position model. The record is from RNAcentral.